This 472-nucleotide ribosomal RNA is filed under the name uncultured bacterium. RNAcentral's name for it is "partial 16S ribosomal RNA". It matches the Rfam family "Bacterial small subunit ribosomal RNA", at positions 28 to 523 of the family's 1533-position model. The record is from RNAcentral.
GACGAACGCUGGCGGCGUGCUUAACACAUGCAAGUCGAACGGGAGUAUUGAAGAAGCUUGCUUUAGAGAUACUUUAGUGGCGGACGGGUGAGUAACGCGUGAGGAGCUGUCCAAUGCAGGGGGACAACAGUUGGAAACGACUGCUAAUACCCCAUAAGCCGAGAGGCAAAAGGAUUUAUUCGGCAAUGGAGGUACUCGCGUCCUAUCAGCUAGUAGGUGAGGUAACGGCUCACCUAGGCGAAGACGGGUAGCCGGCCUGAGAGGGCGAACGGCCACACUGGAACUGAGAUACGGUCCAGACUCCUACGGGAGGCAGCAGUGGGGAAUAUUGGGCAAUGGGGGGAACCCUGACCCAGCGACGCCGCGUGGGUGAAGAAAUCCUUCGGGAUGUAAAGCCCUGUUGUAUGGGAAGAGCGGAAGACGGUACCAUACGAGGAAGCCCCGGCAAACUACGUGCCAGCCGCCGCGGUAA